RNAcentral lists this long non-coding RNA (656 nucleotides) under Anas platyrhynchos platyrhynchos (common mallard). RNAcentral's name for it is "lncRNA (ENSAPLG00000026903.1)". Lineage: Eukaryota; Metazoa; Chordata; Aves; Anseriformes; Anatidae. The record is from RNAcentral.
AACAGAUAAAUAUCUGAGCUGAGAUGGUUCAACAUAGGCCUAACUAGUCAGCUCAAUAUUUUCUUAAAAAAAAUAAAUAUUAAAUUAAAAAAAAAAAAAAAAGGCAAUACAGGAAGAGACUGAUAAUUGGAAGAAUAACAAUGAAGUUACUCUCACAACCUAGGAAUAGAGAAGUCUAUGAAGGCAACCAUGAAUAAAAAGUUCAGAGAACAGUUUCUUCAUUCUAGAACUAGAAGACCAUUGGGAGAGAAGGGACAUCUGUCACCAAAAAAGAAAAGGCCAAGAAGGACAGGACAGAGGAAUCUCAGCUUGUUGCAACCCACCAGCACUGCUAUACAUCUAGCUGGGGUGACACCUGAUGACAGGAAACACAGCCAAAGGAUCUGCUCCGCUGUAGUGACUUGUAUGGAAGGAGAUCCAACUGUAAUCUCCACUGGUGUGGCAGCACUGAAGGAAUCACUCCUGGAAAAAAGGAAUUAAUACAUUACUGUCAGAUAUUCUAGGAAGACUCCCACUGAUGUCGGUGAAAUAUGGGGCAUAGGUGAGGGAAGGAGCAUGAACGACAGGGCUUUUCAACAAGAAAAUGCAUAUAGUACUCUCAGUAUUUAAAUCAGUAAUUUUAUGUGAUACUGGAUUUAGGUUCAGCUGAGCUUUUC